GCAAAGAGGCUGCCACACUUCUAGCCCCAGCCAUGCUCUUGAUGCUCGCCUCAGUGCUGGGGCUUCACUUAGCCCUGAGAGACGCUGGAGCCCAGACGGUGACCCAGCCCGACGCCCACGUCUCUGUGUCUGAAGGAGAAGCUGUGGAGCUGAGGUGCAACUACUCCUAUGGGGGAGCUAUUUACCUCUUCUGGUACGUCCAGCACCGCGGUCAAAGUCCUCAGCUUCUCCUUAAGUACGUCUCAGGGGACACCCUGGUUCAGGGCCUCCACGGUUUUGAGGCUGAAUUUAAGAAGAGCGAAUCUUCCUUCCACCUGAGGAAGCCCUCUGUGCACCUGAGCGACGCGGCCCAGUACUGGUGUGCGCUGAGUGCCACAGUGCCUGGGGCUGCAGGGGGAGCAGUGCAUAAACCACCCCUGAGUGCAGAGCUCAGAAACUCAGGAGCUCUUUCUGCUCCAACACAGCAAACGAGAGAGAGCGAGCUGGGCUGA
Molecule: non-coding RNA, 491 nt
Organism: Ochotona princeps (American pika)
Lineage: Eukaryota; Metazoa; Chordata; Mammalia; Lagomorpha; Ochotonidae
Source: the annotation of a RefSeq genome assembly